GAGAAUAGCCGUACAAAAAACAUCUGGUAGAGAAAGGAAGGACGUGCACAAACACACAGACACGCGUAUAGUAUGACCAGUAGACCAUGACAAAGGGAUAUACAUGAGGUACAAUUCUAAGGAUGUGUCAAAUAAUAACACAAUGAUACACCUGUUAAAAACAUGGUGUUAGUGUUGUUGAUGCACCAACAGGGGACAGUCACUCUCCAUGUGAAAAAAUAAAGACCAGUACUGAUGAAUGCUCUGCUUAACUGUCUUAAAUAUGUUUCAUCCACCACAAGUAGUAAUACUUUAAUGUACUGUUUCAUAUCCCCCUUGACAUAAAAAAUAUAGCAAUUAAAAAAAUUUAAAAAACAUUUCACCUUUAUUUAACCAGGUAGGCUAGUUGAGAACAAGUUCUCAUUUGCAACUGUGACCUGGCCAAAGCUAGUGAGGGAGAUGGGAAUCUCUAGCUUCAGUGAUUUUAGCAGUUCGUUCCAGUCAGUCGCAGCAGAGAACUGGAAGGAAAGGUGACCAAAAGAGGAAUUGGCUUUGGGGGUGACCAGUGAGAUACACCUGCUGGAGCGCGUGCUACAAGUGGGUGCUGCAAUGAUGACAAGCGAGCUGAGAUAAGACGGGGCUUUACCUAGCAGAGACUUGUAGAUAACCUGUAGCCAGUGAGUUUAGCGAUGAGUAUAAAGCGAGGGCCAGCCAACGAGAGCGUAUAGGUCGCAGUGGUGGGCUUUGGUGACAAAACAGAUGGCACUGUGAUAGACUGCAUCCAAUUUGUUGAGUAGAGUGUUGGAGGCUAUUAUAUAGAUGACAUCGCCAAAGUCGAGGAUCGGUAGGUUGGUCAGUUUUACGUGGGUAUGUUUGGUAGCAUGAGUGAAGGAUGCUUUGUUGCGAAAUAGGAAGCCGAUUCUAGAUGUAAUUUUAGAUUGGAUAUGCUUAAUGUGAGUCUGUAAGGAGAGUUUACAGUCUAGCCAGACAACUAGGUAUUUGUAGUUAUCCACGUAUUCUAAGUCAGAGCCGUCCAGAGUAGUGAUGCUGGAUGGGCGGGCAGGUGCGGGCAAUGAUCGGUUGAAGAGCAUGCAUUUAGUUUUAUUUGUGUUUAAGAGCAGUUGGAGGCCACGGAAGGAGAGUUGUAUGGCAUUGAAGCUUGUCUGGAGGUUAGUUAACCUCUGAGCACGGAACCCGGUUGCGGGCUGAAAUUCCACAACAUACGGUGAUCGCUACAUAAAUAGUCAUAUUAAACAUUCAUGAAAAUACAGGUGUCUCACAUGUAUCGAAAGCCAAGAAUCUUGCUAAUCCAACUGUGUUGUCAGUUUAAAAAAAAGGAUUUAUUGCGAAAGAAUACGAUGCGAUUAUCUGAGGAUAGAGCCCAUAAAAAAUAUAAAAAAUCAACCAGCACAGGAUUUACAAAUUCACAAACUGCAUUAAAAUAAAUAGUGUACCUUUGACGAUCUUCAUCUGUUUGCAAUGCCAAUGCUCAUUGUUACACAGUGAAUGAUCUUUUGUUUGAUAAAAUCAGUUUUUUAUAGCCUAACACGAAACAUUUUGUGAACCGCUUGUGUCGUGUAUUCCGUCUCAUUCCAUUUUCGAUGACAAAUUCCAGGUAAAUACCCACACAGAACGUGACUUUUCCAGUCAUGUUUGGUUUCACUACAAUCAACUGGUUUGUUUGUAACACAAUCAAACCUGAUGAGUCAUUUCGCGGGACGUAUUGACUGAAAUAAAUCGAUUUGAAGACAACAAGUAAUGACAUUGUUGUGCACCAAUGAUUUGCCCGCUGUUUCGUUGAUUGACUGUAUUUUAACCCAAUGACCACUGAUCGUCUUGAAAUCUAGCUGGGUAGAUAGCCAAUGAGCUGAGGUAAAUGCCAAUAUCCAAUGGUUGUGUGUUGGAAGACCAACCCAUGUCGUAAACUCAGGCGUAAAGAGAAUCAUUCACUAUUGAAGUUUUAUUCCGGAAGAAGCUACGCAUUUUACGCACUGCAUUGUUUUGGUAAACACGCAGAUUCAGCUGUUUAUAUAUCAAUCGGUAUGGCGACUAAAUCAGGGAAAGCUAAACCUAAGUCUAGAUAUACAGAUGUACACACAAUUUUAGAAGAAAUUGAUCGGAAAAGUAAUACAGAGAUUGUUGUAGAACGAUUCAUUUAGCGAUUCCCAAGUGGAGGAAUAUUUUUUGAAUGGAGAGGACACCGUUGGCAGCCACUGUGUAUAAUCUGUAACGGUGCCUGCAGAAGAGGAACAAUGUCACCGUUUUGGACUGUUACUGCCCAGAUCUUCCAGUCUGGACGACCAGACGAACAGCCUGGACGGUCGGGAACGGCGAUCCCCAUCCGGACAUCCGCUGCCAGCCAUGGAACGGACUUCUUCAUUUGCAGACACCCUACCCGGGUCGACCACCAGAGGGGGGGGACUGCAACAGCGACCACCAAAUGGACAUCUGCUGUCGGAUGUCCAAUUGAUGAGCGGACUUCAUUCGCAGAAACCCUCCCCGGGUCGACCACCAGAUAGGGACCACAACGAUGGUCCACAACCAGGACAACCCAUGGUCAUUUUUUAUGUUGGUUUGCAACAUGCAGGUUAAUCGCAAGAUUGAACCCAACAUGGGGGGACUGUCAUGACGUUGGCCUGGGGGUAGGUUUAUGACAGUCAUAAAUACCUCUUCCCCCCUUUUUCCUCUCUCUACCCUGCUGAUGUUACAUUUGCAAAACCCUUGGUUAACAUAGAGAUUUUGGGAACAUCAGAAGGUGGAGAGAAAAUUAACUAUAUUCUGGUAAUCCGACCAAUUGAACAUAUGCGGUGGUACUUAAUGAAUAUGAUGUCAGCUCGGUUGUCAUCUGAGACAUUCCCAUCAAUGAUAAGAUGACAUAAACUCUACAGUGGAAAGUCUACACAUCAGAGUUAUCGGAUUCACAUGGAAUUGUUGUUCAAUUUAAAUGUUUGAAUAUUAAAUUAUUCAUGAUGGGAUGAAAUGUGAUUUUAGCUUCUAAAAUGUGAGAUUUGGGUUUUCAUAAGAUAGGGCUCUGCUCAAUCAGUGGCCCGCCCCUGUGAAUGGACAUGGGCUAUACAACUUUUCAAACACGCUCUCCUCUCCCUUCCUAUAUAAAACCUUGACGACAAUGUAACCUCCUGUUCCGAGGACGUGAGGACAACGGUCCGAUGUCAGAAUGGUUCAGAUAAUAACUGCAGAACGAAGCUAACAUCAGCGUGAGCUUUGGUUGUGAAUGGUAUGAACUUUGAGCUCUUUUUCACUACAGAAGUGAGACCUCCUAGCCGUUAAGUUAGCAACAGCAGAUGCAAACGAGGGUUAGGAAGGAACAGACAGAGUAUCCAGACUAUCACACAACAACGUUAUUACAACGUAACCGAUUGACAACCAGAGACAUUCUUCAAAGGACUUGGUUGGGCAACACGGCCUUCCAUCUACCACCAACCUACUGAAGCGCAGCUCAGAGUAAAUAUUUAUUGCAUUUUCCUUUUCCAAAUGGACGGUAAUUUAGAAUGCAUAAGAUACUGCAUUUACGAUAGCACAGCUUCGCCCUUUGUUCCUCAGUCUUCCCGCUCUUUCACUCCAACCCAGCCCCUUUUCUUUUGUGUAACAUGCUGUCACAUCUGUUCCGCCCGCUAGGGACGUUUUCCUUUAUGGCGUAAUUUUUAAUCAAGUUAUGAUUUAAUUAUGUGUAUGUGUAAUUACGUGUGAUUAGUUAGGUAUUUAGUAAAUAAAUAAUUAAACCCAA
Long non-coding RNA from Oncorhynchus nerka (sockeye salmon), 3724 nucleotides. RefSeq lists it as uncharacterized. The transcript is spliced from 2 exons. The record is from RefSeq and is a predicted model, not a curated record. Lineage: Eukaryota; Metazoa; Chordata; Actinopteri; Salmoniformes; Salmonidae.